Molecule: ribosomal RNA, 480 nt
Filed under: uncultured bacterium
Lineage: Bacteria
Description: bacterial SSU rRNA
Rfam family: Bacterial small subunit ribosomal RNA
Source: RNAcentral
GAUGAACGCUGACAGAAUGCUUAACACAUGCAAGUCUACUCGAAAGCUCUUCGGAGUGAUUAGGGUGGCGGACGGGUGAGUAACGCGUAAAGAACUUGCCCCCCAGACUGGGACAACUGUUGGAAACGACAGCUAAUACCAGAUAUUAUGAGACCUUGGCAUCAAGGACUUAUGAAAGCUAUAUGCGCUGGGGGAGAGCUUUGCGUCCUAUUAGCUAGUUGGUGAGGUAAUGGCUCACCAAGGCGACGAUAGGUAGCCGGCCUGAGAGGGUGAACGGCCACAAGGGGACUGAGACACGGCCCUUACUCCUACGGGAGGCAGCAGUGGGGAAUAUUGGACAAUGGACCAAAAGUCUGAUCCAGCAAUUCUGUGUGUUUGAUGAAGGCCUUCGGGUUGUAAAGGACUUUCAAUGGGGAAGAAGCAAGUGACGGUACCCAUAGAAGAAGCGACGGCUAAAUACGUGCCAGCGGCCGCGGUAAU